AUAUUGAAACAAAAUUUAAGAAAUAUCCACGCACAAAGAAAAAUAGAUUCACUAGAUACCUAAUAAAUCUAUUUCAUACGUCAGAUAUCCGCACCCCCCUACAAUUUCAUACGUCAGAUAUCCGCACCCCUGUACAAAUGGUAGGUCAUUCUUUUUCAAACGGAGGGAGUAUUAAAAAAUAAUUUGUGACUCUAGUGAGUAAGGUGGAAAAGCAACGCCGCUAAUUUUGAUACAUGAACAACUAUUGUAUCUGUUAACUUCUCAUUUUACUUAUAAUGAGAUGUAAUUUGUGCAUGUUUUUUCUAUAAAUUGAGUUCAUGACAAAAUGUUUACUGAGAUGUCCAAACGAUUAAAAAAAAAUCCCAUCUACUCAUCAAGGGGUGAUAUUGUGUAGAGGAAUAAAAAAAUUGUAAUAAAAAAUUUGUAAAACUGUCUCCUUUUUAAAUAUUUGAAGCUCUGCCUCUAAACAUUACAUGAACCUUUUAGUGCGACAAAGGCCAUAUUUCUAAAUAAACAGUGCUUCAUGGCUUAAACCAUAUUUUAAUCAGAAAAAACAAACAU
RNAcentral lists this long non-coding RNA (561 nucleotides) under Capsicum annuum. RNAcentral describes it as "long non-coding RNA (CANN_LNC008713)". The record is from RNAcentral. Lineage: Eukaryota; Viridiplantae; Streptophyta; Magnoliopsida; Solanales; Solanaceae.